UGGGGAAUAUUGGACAAUGGGGGCAACCCUGAUCCAGCAAUGCCGCGUGAGUGAUGAAGGCCUUAGGGUUGUAAAGCUCUUUUGGCGGGGACGCGGUACCCGCAGAAUAGCGCCAUCUACUGACGGUACCGGAAGAAUAGCCCGGCUAACUAC
RNAcentral lists this ribosomal RNA (153 nucleotides) under uncultured bacterium. Its description in RNAcentral is "partial 16S ribosomal RNA". It matches the Rfam family "Bacterial small subunit ribosomal RNA", at positions 355 to 504 of the family's 1533-position model. The record is from RNAcentral.